AGCAGCCGCGGUAAUUCCAGCUCCAAUAGCGUAUAUUAAAGUUGUUGCAGUUAAAAAGCUCGUAGUUGAAUUUCGGGAUCAAUAUAUCGGUCGUGCCAUUGGUACGUACUGGUAUCAUUGGUUUCUCCUUUCUGACGAACCAUGAUGUCAUUAAUUUGGUGUUAUGGGAAGUUAGGACUGUUACUUUGAAAAAUUAGAGUGUUUAAAGCAGGCUUUAGCUUGAAUACAUUAGCAUGGAAUAAUGAAAUAGGACGUUCGAACCUAUUUUGUUGGUUUCUAGGAUCAACGUAAUGAUUAAUAGGGAUAGUUGGGGGCAUUAGUAUUCAAUUGUCAGAGGUGAAAUUCUUGGAUUUAUUGAAGACUAACUACUGCGAAAGCAUUUGCCAAGGAUGUUUUCAUUAAUCAAGAACGAAAGUUAGGGGAUCGAAGACGAUCAGAUACCGUCGUAGU
This 450-nucleotide ribosomal RNA is filed under the name uncultured Glomus. Its description in RNAcentral is "SSU rRNA". It matches the Rfam family "Eukaryotic small subunit ribosomal RNA", at positions 569 to 1024 of the family's 1831-position model. RNAcentral also lists the same sequence under 1 other name. The record is from RNAcentral. Lineage: Eukaryota; Fungi; Glomeromycota; Glomeromycetes; Glomerales; Glomeraceae.